Molecule: ribosomal RNA, 424 nt
Filed under: uncultured bacterium
Lineage: Bacteria
Description: bacterial SSU rRNA
Rfam family: Bacterial small subunit ribosomal RNA
Source: RNAcentral
UGGGGAAUAUUGGGCAAUGGGCGAAAGCCUGACCCAGCAACGCCGCGUGGAGGAAGAAGGUUUUCGGAUCGUAAACUCCUGUCCUCAGGGAAGAGAAGAAGACGGUACCUGAGGAGGAAGCCCCGGCUAACUACGUGCCAGCAGCCGCGGUAAUACGUAGGGGGCAAGCGUUGUCCGGAAUGAUUGGGCGUAAAGGGCGCGUAGGCGGCCCGGUAAGUCUGGAGUGAAAGUCCUGCCUUCAAGGUGGGAAUUGCUUUGGAUACUGUCGGGCUUGAGUGCAGGAGAGGUAAGUGGAAUUCCCAGUGUAGCGGUGAAAUGCGUAGAGAUUGGGAGGAACACCAGUGGCGAAGGCGACUUACUGGACUGUAACUGACGCUGAGGCGCGAAAGUGUGGGGAGCAAACAGGAUUAGAUACCCUGGUAGU